RNAcentral lists this ribosomal RNA (247 nucleotides) under uncultured bacterium. RNAcentral's name for it is "partial 16S ribosomal RNA". It matches the Rfam family "Bacterial small subunit ribosomal RNA", at positions 15 to 252 of the family's 1533-position model. The record is from RNAcentral.
GAUCAUGGCUCAGGAUGAACGCUAGCUACAGGCUUAACACAUGCAAGUCGAGGGGCAGCAUUUUAGUUUGCUUGCAAACUGAAGAUGGUGACCGGCGCACGGGUGAGUAACACGUAUCCAACCUGCCGAUAACUCCGGAAUAGCCUUUCGAAAGAAAGAUUAAUACCGGAUAGUAUACGAAUAUCGCAUGAUAUUUUUAUUAAAGAAUUUCGGUUAUCGAUGGGGAUGCGUUCCAUUAGUUUGUUGG